GAGGCAGCAGCUAAGAAUCUUCCGCCAAUGGGGGAAAGCCCUGACGGAGCGACGCCGCGUGAACGACGAAGGCAGAGAUGUUGUAAAGUUCUUUUCCUGGGGGAGAAUAAUGCUCCGAGGGAAUGCGGAGCAGAUGACGUGAACCAGGGAAUAAGCCCCGGCUAAUUACGUGCCAGCAGCCGCGGUAACGCGUAACGGGCUGAGCGUUGUUCGGAUCUAAUUGGGCGUAAAGGGCGUGUAGGCCGUAGUGCAAGUCUGGUGUGAAAGGACCCGGCUCAACCAUGGGACCGCGCCGGAAACUGUGCUGCUUGACUCUAGGAGGGGGAGCUGGAAUUCCUGGUGUAGGGGUGAAAUCUGUAAAGAUCAGGAAUAACACCGGAUGCGAAGGCGAGCUCCUGGCCAUAGACUGACGCUGAGGCGCGAAAGCUUGGGGAGCGAACAGGAUUAGAUACCCUGGUAGUCCAAGCUGUAAGCGAUGUGCAUUUAGGUCUUGGGACCAUAGAAAGGUGUCGGUGCCGCAGCUUACGCGUUAAGUGCAGCACGACCUGGGGUGUAUGCUAGCAAGGCUGAAACUCAAAGGAAUUGUACGGGGGCCCGCACAAGCGGUGGAGCAUGUGGUUUAAUUCGAUGAUACGCGAGCAACCUUACCAGGGCAUGACAUAAAGCGGACGGUGGUAGAGAUACAGCUUCC
RNAcentral lists this ribosomal RNA (691 nucleotides) under uncultured organism. RNAcentral describes it as "bacterial SSU rRNA". It matches the Rfam family "Bacterial small subunit ribosomal RNA", at positions 345 to 1016 of the family's 1533-position model. The record is from RNAcentral.